RNAcentral lists this ribosomal RNA (705 nucleotides) under Salmonella enterica subsp. enterica serovar Oranienburg. RNAcentral's name for it is "bacterial LSU rRNA". It matches the Rfam family "Bacterial large subunit ribosomal RNA", at positions 329 to 937 of the family's 2925-position model. Lineage: Bacteria; Pseudomonadati; Pseudomonadota; Gammaproteobacteria; Enterobacterales; Enterobacteriaceae. The record is from RNAcentral.
UUAGUGGAAGCGUCUGGAAAGGCGCGCGAUACAGGGUGACAGCCCCGUACACAAAAGCGCAUGUGCUGUGAGCUCGAUGAGUAGGGCGGGACACGUGGUAUCCUGUCUGAAUAUGGGGGGACCAUCCUCCAAGGCUAAAUACUCCUGACUGACCGAUAGUGAACCAGUACCGUGAGGGAAAGGCGAAAAGAACCCCGGCGAGGGGAGUGAAAAAGAACCUGAAACCGUGUACGUACAAGCAGUGGGAGCCCCACCACUAAGCCAGUGGUGAACUCCACAUACGCAUCCUUUGCUGAGGAUACGGUUAACGGAGCGAAAGCGACGUUCAACCGCAAAAGAAGCAGAGGGGGCUUAGUGGUGGGGUGACUGCGUACCUUUUGUAUAAUGGGUCAGCGACUUAUAUUCUGUAGCAAGGUUAACCGAAUAGGGGAGCCGGAGGGAAACCGAGUCUUAACCGGGCGUUAAGUUGCAGGGUAUAGACCCGAAACCCGGUGAUCUAGCCAUGGGCAGGUUGAAGGUUGGGUAACACUAACUGGAGGACCGAACCGACUAAUGUUGAAAAAUUAGCGGAUGACCUGUGGCUGGGGGUGAAAGGCCAAUCAAACCGGGAGAUAGCUGGUUCUCCCCGAAAGCUAUUUAGGUAGCGCCUCGUGAAUUCAUCUCCGGGGGUAGAGCACUGUUUCGGCUAGGGGGCCAUCCCGGCUU